AUACAUACCUGGCAAGGGAGGUACCAUGAUCACGAAGGUGGUUUUCCCAGGGCGAGACUUAUCCACUGCACUCUGGAUGUGUGAUUUCCCCAAAUGUGGGAAGCUCGACUGCAUUAUUUGUGGUAGUGGGGAACUGCAUUUGUGCUCUCCCCUA
RNAcentral lists this small nuclear RNA (154 nucleotides) under Erinaceus europaeus (western European hedgehog). Its description in RNAcentral is "U1 spliceosomal RNA". It matches the Rfam family "U1 spliceosomal RNA". Rfam says of the family: U1 is a small nuclear RNA (snRNA) component of the spliceosome (involved in pre-mRNA splicing). Its 5' end forms complementary base pairs with the 5' splice junction, thus defining the 5' donor site of an intron. The record is from Rfam by way of RNAcentral. Lineage: Eukaryota; Metazoa; Chordata; Mammalia; Eulipotyphla; Erinaceidae.